RNAcentral lists this ribosomal RNA (124 nucleotides) under Nowakowskiella sp. RNAcentral's name for it is "partial small subunit ribosomal RNA". It matches the Rfam family "Eukaryotic small subunit ribosomal RNA", at positions 1657 to 1779 of the family's 1831-position model. Lineage: Eukaryota; Fungi; Chytridiomycota; Chytridiomycetes; Cladochytriales; Nowakowskiellaceae. The record is from RNAcentral.
CCUUUGUACACACCGCCCGUCGCUACUACCGAUUGAAUGGCUUAGUGAGACCUCCGGAUUGGGUGCAUUCGACUCGCAAGUUUCGAUGCGUCUGAAAAGUUGAUCAAACUUGGUCAUUUAGAGG